CAGCCGCCGCGGUAAUACCGGCGGCCCGAGUGGCGGUCACUAUUAUUGGGCUUAAAACGUCCGUAGCCGGGUUGGGAAGUCCUCCGGGAAAUCUGGCCGCUUAACGGUCAGAAUGCCGGAGGAUACUCCCAGCCUAGGGAGCGGGAGAGGCCGAGGGUAUUCCCGGAGUAGGGGUGAAAUCCUAUAAUCCCGGGAGGACCACCUGUGGCGAAGGCGCUCGGCUGGAACGCGUCCGACGGGGAGGGACGAAGGCCAGGGGAGCAAACCGGAUUAGAUACCCGGGUAGUCCUGGCGGUAAAGGAUGCGGGCUAGGUGUCGGGUGAGCUUCGAGCUCGCCCGGUGCCGUAGGGAAGCCGUUAAGCCCGCCGCCUGGGGAGUACGGCCGCAAGGCUGAAACUUAAAGGAAUUGGCGGG
RNAcentral lists this ribosomal RNA (414 nucleotides) under uncultured microorganism. RNAcentral describes it as "bacterial SSU rRNA". It matches the Rfam family "Archaeal small subunit ribosomal RNA", at positions 459 to 872 of the family's 1478-position model. The record is from RNAcentral.